This 148-nucleotide microRNA precursor is filed under the name Mustela putorius furo (domestic ferret). RNAcentral's name for it is "miRNA (ENSMPUG00000022975.1)". Lineage: Eukaryota; Metazoa; Chordata; Mammalia; Carnivora; Mustelidae. The record is from RNAcentral.
AAUACAGGAUAUCAAAAUAAGUUUGAAUUUCAGAUAAAUAAUACUUAUUUAGUGUGUGUAUGUCUCUUGCAAUAUUUGGGACAUACAUAUACUAAAAAUUAUUUGAUGUUAAUCUGAAAUUCACAUUUAACUGGGCCUCUUGUAUUUU